RNAcentral lists this ribosomal RNA (254 nucleotides) under uncultured bacterium. RNAcentral describes it as "partial 16S ribosomal RNA". It matches the Rfam family "Bacterial small subunit ribosomal RNA", at positions 524 to 776 of the family's 1533-position model. The record is from RNAcentral.
UACGUAGGGUGCGAGCGUUGUCCGGAAUUACUGGGCGUAAAGAGCUCGUAGGUGGUUUGUCGCGUUGUCCGUGAAAACUCACAACUCAAUUGUGGGCGUGCGGGCGAUACGGGCAGACUGGAGUACUGCAGGGGGAGACUGGAAUUCCUGGUGUAGCGGUGGAAUGCGCAGAUAUCAGGAGGAACACCGGUGGCGAAGGCGGGUCUCUGGGCAGUAACUGACGCUGAGGAGCGAAAGCGUGGGGAGCGAACAGG